GGGCAGCUAGCUCAAUGGUAGAGCAAGUGACUCUUAAUCACUGGGUUCAGGGUUCGAGUCCCUGGCUGCUCACCA
RNAcentral lists this transfer RNA (75 nucleotides) under Ktedonobacter sp. RNAcentral describes it as "tRNA-Lys". It matches the Rfam family "tRNA". From Rfam's summary of the family: Transfer RNA (tRNA) molecules are approximately 80 nucleotides in length. Their secondary structure includes four short double-helical elements and three loops (D, anti-codon, and T loops). The record is from RNAcentral. Lineage: Bacteria; Bacillati; Chloroflexota; Ktedonobacteria; Ktedonobacterales; Ktedonobacteraceae.